GCCCUGGUGGUGAAAAGGUAGACACAAUUGAUUCAAAAUCAAUUAUCGAAAGAUGUGGAGGUUCAAAUCCUCUCCAGGGCA
This 81-nucleotide transfer RNA is filed under the name Interfilum terricola. RNAcentral's name for it is "tRNA-Leu". It matches the Rfam family "tRNA". From Rfam's summary of the family: Transfer RNA (tRNA) molecules are approximately 80 nucleotides in length. Their secondary structure includes four short double-helical elements and three loops (D, anti-codon, and T loops). Further hydrogen bonds mediate the characteristic L-shaped molecular structure. tRNAs have two regions of fundamental functional importance: the anti-codon, which is responsible for specific mRNA codon recognition, and the 3' end, to which the tRNAs corresponding amino acid is attached (by aminoacyl-tRNA synthetases). tRNAs cope with the degeneracy of the genetic code in two manners: having more than one tRNA (with a specific anti-codon) for a particular amino acid; and 'wobble' base-pairing, i.e. permitting non-standard base-pairing at the 3rd anti-codon position. Lineage: Eukaryota; Viridiplantae; Streptophyta; Klebsormidiophyceae; Klebsormidiales; Klebsormidiaceae. The record is from RNAcentral.